UUGCCUACGGGGGGCAGCAGUGGGGAAUAUUGGGCAAUGGGCGCAAGCCUGACCCAGCAACGCCGCGUGAAGGAAGAAGGCUUUCGGGUUGUAAACUUCUUUUGUCAGGGACGAAGCAAGUGACGGUACCUGACGAAUAAGCCACGGCUAACUACGUGCCAGCAGCCGCGGUAAUACGUAGGUGGCAAGCGUUAUCCGGAUUUAUUGGGUGUAAAGGGUGCGUAGACGGGAAAACAAGUUAGUUGUGAAAUCCCUCAGCUUAACUGAGGAACUGCAACUAAAACUAUUUUUCUUGAGUGCUGGAG
RNAcentral lists this ribosomal RNA (305 nucleotides) under uncultured bacterium. Its description in RNAcentral is "bacterial SSU rRNA". It matches the Rfam family "Bacterial small subunit ribosomal RNA", at positions 335 to 654 of the family's 1533-position model. The record is from RNAcentral.